CUUUAAAAUCUAAAACUUAAUUUUGUUGGCAUUUUUCUAAACAAUUACCAUGUGCUUUGGGGCCAAUAAACUAUGGACAAAGUGGGACAAUUUGUUGUGUUUAAUUCGACUCGUAAUUAGGCUGGUUACACCUAUAUUGUGUGACCAGGUGGGAAAACAUAAGAAUGAACAUAAGAAAGCAGCAGGAAAAAUAAAACAAAAACAAUAAA
This is a long non-coding RNA of Drosophila innubila, 209 nucleotides long. RefSeq lists it as uncharacterized. Lineage: Eukaryota; Metazoa; Arthropoda; Insecta; Diptera; Drosophilidae. The transcript is spliced from 2 exons. The record is from RefSeq and is a predicted model, not a curated record.